GUGCUCGCUUCAGCAGCACAUAUACUAAAAUUGGAACGAUACAGAGAAGAUUAGCAUGGCCCCUGUGCAAGGAAUAAAUGUAUAAGUAGAUAUAUACUGAGUUCCU
This is a small nuclear RNA of Neofelis nebulosa (Clouded leopard), 106 nucleotides long. Lineage: Eukaryota; Metazoa; Chordata; Mammalia; Carnivora; Felidae. The record is from RefSeq and is a predicted model, not a curated record.